GAAUAUUAGUCAAUGCUCGCAAGAGUGAACUAGCUAACUGAAAUCACAUUUAAACUAUGUUGAUAAUGUGAUAACGUAAGGGAAAAAAAUGAUAUUACCUUACUACUAGUGUUGUCCAAAACUGGUGCCAGAAGACUCGGUAAAGCCAGAGACGCAAACGUUAGUCGUCCUAAUCAGGCGUAAAGGGUAUGUAGGCUGCUUUAAAAUCAAUUAAAGCUAGAAUCAAAUUGAGGAUAAACCAAAUAAUACUUAGUGUAGGGUUGAUAUCUAUAGAUACUAAGGGGAAUACUAAAGGUGAAAGCUUUUUAUCUAUUAAUGAUUGACGCUGAGAAACGAAGGUGAGAAUAGGAAAUAGGAUUAGAUACCCAGAUACCUCUCACUGUCAACGAUGAAUGGUGGUUGUUAGUUUUAAAACAAACUGGUAACGAUGUUAACACGAUAACCAUUCCGCCUUGCGAGUACGGUUGCAAAACUGAAACCAAAAAAAUUAGUCGGUCUCGAAGCAAACGAAGUGAAGCAUGUUAUUUAAUUCGAUA
This 536-nucleotide ribosomal RNA is filed under the name Entoloma caesiolamellatum. RNAcentral describes it as "partial small subunit ribosomal RNA". It matches the Rfam family "Bacterial small subunit ribosomal RNA", at positions 359 to 956 of the family's 1533-position model. The record is from RNAcentral. Lineage: Eukaryota; Fungi; Basidiomycota; Agaricomycetes; Agaricales; Entolomataceae.